UGGCGGCGUGCUUAACACAUGCAAGUCGAACGGGGAUUAAGUGGAAAGGCUCGGCCCGGAAGACUUAAGUCGAGUGGCGGACGGGUGAGUAACGCGUGAGCAACCUGUCCCAGACAGGGGGAUAACACUUGGAAACAGGUGCUAAUACCGCAUAAGACCACGGGGUCACAUGGCUCUGGAGGUAAAAGGAGCAAUCCGGUUUGGGGUGGGCUCGCGUCCGGAUUAGAUAGUUGGUGAGGUAACGGCCCACCAAGUCGACGAUCGGUAGCCGACCUGAGAGGGUGAUCGGCCACAUUGGAACUGAGAGACGGUCCAAACUCCUACGGGAGGCAGCAGUGGGGAAUAUUGGGCAAUGGGCGAAAGCCUGACCCAGCAACGCCGCGUGAGUGAAGAAGGCCUUCGGGUUGUAAAGCUCUGUUAUAGGGGACGAAGGAAGUGACGGUACCCUAUAAGGAAGCCCCGGCUAACUACGUGCCAGCAGCAGC
This 485-nucleotide ribosomal RNA is filed under the name uncultured bacterium. RNAcentral's name for it is "bacterial SSU rRNA". It matches the Rfam family "Bacterial small subunit ribosomal RNA", at positions 37 to 518 of the family's 1533-position model. The record is from RNAcentral.